CAAUUUAAAAUAUUUUUAGCUUUUCUCUGAGACUUUCUUUUUUGACCCCUGGAUUAUUUAAGAAUGUGGUAUUUAAUUCUAAAAUAUUUGGAGAUUUUUCAGAUACCUUCUAGUUAUUGAUUUCUGGUUUAGUUCUGUUUUCAUCUAAAAAACAUAUUCUGUAUGUUUUCUACUCAGUGAAAUUUGAUGAGGUUGCCUUCGUAGCUCAGAAUGUGGUAUGUACUGAUGAAUGCAUAUUCUGCUGUUGUUGCAUGGAACAUUCUAUCACUGUCUAGUUGGCUGAUUACUGUUUUUCAAGUCUUCUGAGCGCUUACUGUUUUUCUCUAUAUUUGUUUCAUCAGUUAUUGAGCGUGGAGUGUUGAAGUCUUUAACUCUGAGGAUUUUUUUACUACUUUUUUGUUUUAGCCUCAUUUAUUUUAAAGCUCUGGUUUAAUUGCUGCACAUUUAGGAUUUUUAUAUGUUCAUAAAGAGGUGACCCCUUUAUCAUUCAUUGUAUAAUAUUCCUGUUCAUCCUUGAUAACAUUCCCUGUUCUGAUGUCUACUUUGUCUGAUAUUGGUAUAUAGUUUUUCUAGCUCUGUUUUAGCUAAUGUUUUAAGGUAUAUCUUUCUCUAAACUUUUCUUUCAAUCCUUCAUGUCUUUAUGUUUAAAAUGGGCUUCUUGUCCACAGUGUAUGCAUGGGACUUGCUUUUUCACCUACAAUCUCUCUUCUUAAUUCUUUUUUGGCCGCCCCGUGGCAUAUGGAGCCCCUGGAUCAGGAAUCAAAUCCAAGUUGCAGUUGCUACCUAGGCCGCAGCUGCAGCAAUGCUGGAUCCUUAAUCCACUGUGCAGGGCUGGGGAUCGAACCUGCGUCCCAGCACUCCCAAGACACUGCUGAUCCUGUUGCGCCACAGCAGGAACUCUAGCAAUCUCUCUCUUUCAAUUCAUGUGUUAGACCUUUCAUUUCAGUGUUAUUUUUUAAGUAAUUGGAAUAAAGUCUACCACCUUGCUAGUUGUUUUCUAUUUGUUUUAUUUUUUUCCCUUUUUAUGCCUUAGUUGAGCAUUUUUUUAUGAUGCUACUUUUUUCUCCCCUAUUGGCUUGUUGUUUGUGUUUUUAAAGAAAAUUUAGUUGUCUACCUUCAAAGACUGUUGCAUCACUUUGCAUGUCAUAUAAAGACGUCCUAACAAUAUAUUCACACGUCCUCCUUUCCAUCCUGUGUGCUGGUGCUGUUAUACCUUUUACAUUCACAUAUGUUAUAAGCACACAUUGCAUUGUUAUUACUGUAGACAUUAUCUUUUAGAACGAGCAGUUUAAAAAUUUUGUUUUGUUUUUUCAGGUUUUUAUUUUUAAAUUUUUUUUAUUAUUCCCCCAAUAUAAUUGUUUUUCUACUGUACAGCAUGGUGACCCAGUUACACAUACAUGUACACAUUCUUUUUUCUCCCAUUAUCACGCUCCAUCGUUAAGUGACUGGACAUAGUUCCCAGUGCUACACAGCAGGAUCUCAUUGCUAAUCCAUUCCAAAGGCAAUAGUUUUAAUUUUCUUCAUUUAUUCUCUUUCCAUCUCUCUUCACUUGAGAGGAUAAAUACGUGUUCCCAUCAAUAUCAUGUUCUUUCUUCUUAAAGGGCUUCCUUUAACAUUUACCAUCAAGUUGGUCAGCUGGAAGUGGAUCUUCUCAGUUUUUAUUUUCUAAGACAGUUUGUAUUUCUCUUUCAUCACUGAAAAUUAUUUUCAGUGAGCAUAAAAUUCUGGGUUUUUGUUUUUUCUUUAGUUUUCAUCGAUACUGUGCUUUUCAUUGGUAGCAUUUCAUUUCUUUUUUCUUUUUUCAUAGUUUCCCUCUCGCAGCUGAAACUCUCACUUGACAUUGUAUGUUUCCACCUUUCUCAUUAGAGCUGUUAGCAUAUUCAUCAGUUAUUUUAAAUUCUCUCGAAGUUCUAACAUCUAUCAUAUCUGACUGGUUCUGAUGGCUUUUUCUCUCCCAAGUAUUUUUUCUUGCCUUUUGUAGUGUUUUGCAAUUUUCUUUGAAAGCUAGUCAUCUUACAUAGACAGUAGAGACCAAUGUCGAUGGCUUUUGCCUGGCAAGGAGUGUGCUUCUCCUGCGGGCCUUUCCAGGGGGAGGUAGAGCUUUUCUAGUCAGGAGGUGGACUGGGUGGGAGAGGUGUUGUUGUUGAGGCCACCAUCAGAGCCUCCAGAGGCCUCGGGUUCCUGCCAAGACACGUCUUGUUUGGGGUGGAGGAUGGAUCACAGGAGGAAGUCUUGUCCACUCCAGGUUCAGGUCUUUCCUCUGCCCUGUGCCUCAGAGCUGGUUGCCCUGCACGUUCUGCUCUUCUCCUGUUCCUCUCCCAGUGGUGUUUUGCUGUCACCUCCCAUUUGGAGCUCCACAGGUUGGCACUAGGGGGUGAGGAGGCGAUGAGGAAACUCUGUUCUGACCCAGCCUCAGCCUUCUGCCUGCACCCUCCUCUCAGGUUUCUGGGCCGUGGCCCUCGCAGUCUUCCGCGCUCCUCAGCUGUUGUGAUGGACUCAGGGCAGUCUCGUCCCUUCUUAAAGAGUAGAAGUGUGUCUUCCUCUUAUUCAUUCCUUUCCCCACUGCAGUAAGUUUUGACCAACGCACUAGGGCAGCAGUGCUUGCCGCCCUUCUCUGCACAGGAUAAAGCGUUUGUUCCCUGGUAGAGAGAGGGGAGAUGGAUCCAGGUGGAGGUCCUUGGCCCUGCUAAAGGCUGCUCCCCUCCCCUAGAUCUGGACCACAUUGGAUACUUAUCCUCUGAGUGCUUGAGUGGUGUUCAUAGCAUUGCGCCUGCAAGAGAGUGUGGCCCCAGAGGAGUGACACAGCCCUUCCAGCCCACACUUGGCUUUACCCAACCUGUCUGCCGUUCAGCUGAGCUCCUCUGACCAGUGUCCUGUUACAUCUACCCCAGGUGACACAAGCUGUGUCUCCUUUCUUCCUGCAGACACAGUCUCUAGAGUUUGCACUAUUUGAUUUCUGGGAGUUUGGCCUAUGAUGAGUUUGGGAAAAGUCAUAAAUGUAAAGGUAGGCCUAUUU
Molecule: long non-coding RNA, 3016 nt
Filed under: Sus scrofa (pig)
Lineage: Eukaryota; Metazoa; Chordata; Mammalia; Artiodactyla; Suidae
Description: lncRNA (ENSSSCG00005000392.1)
Source: RNAcentral